UCGAGAAACAAUCAACCUAUUGAUAUUGAAAAAUUUGACAGAAAGUAGACGAAAUCCCUUAUGUAUUAUGUAGGUACUACCUCCCUGAGAGGAUAGACAUUGUAUAAGAGCGAAGCGAAUUAGUAUCACUUGAUCUUGCCAUGGCUGCAGUAACCCUAGGUAUCCCGGGAUGAUGAUCCACACCCUCGUCUAAUAGAUCGAGGAUCAACAUUGUCGUUUGUCUAGGCGCUUCUACUGGCCCACGACCUUCCAACAUUUCCACGACUCGUGCCAUUGUUGGCCUAAGACUAGGCCGUUCUUGGAUGCAAGACAACGCCAC
Solanum stenotomum is the source of this 319-nucleotide long non-coding RNA. RefSeq lists it as uncharacterized. The record is from RefSeq and is a predicted model, not a curated record. Lineage: Eukaryota; Viridiplantae; Streptophyta; Magnoliopsida; Solanales; Solanaceae. The transcript is spliced from 2 exons.